GUGUUCGUAGGAAGGAGAAAUGGUUGGCAUCCCCCCCCCUGACAGGAACAGCCUUCGGGCUUAGGUGUUGACACAUCGGUUAAGGGCCUAAGGCUACCUGCUACCCACCCUUGUGGUCGAUCUAUAACCCAAAUUUUU
Small nuclear RNA from Argentina anserina (silverweed cinquefoil), 138 nucleotides. The record is from RefSeq and is a predicted model, not a curated record. NCBI's taxonomy places the organism in Eukaryota, Viridiplantae, Streptophyta, Magnoliopsida, Rosales, Rosaceae.